Molecule: ribosomal RNA, 644 nt
Filed under: uncultured bacterium
Lineage: Bacteria
Description: bacterial SSU rRNA
Rfam family: Bacterial small subunit ribosomal RNA
Source: RNAcentral
AGAGUUUGAUCCUGGCUCAGGACGAACGCUGGCGGUGUGCUUCACACAUGCAAGUCGAACGAGGUAGCAAUACCUAGUGGCGGACGGGUGAGUAACGCGUGGGAGUCUGCCUUUAGAUGGGGGAUAACGAGCCGAAAGGUUCGCUAAUACCGCAUAUGCCGCAAGGUGAAAGGAGUAAUCCGUCUAAAGAUGAGCCCGCGUCCGAUUAGCUAGUUGGUGGGGUAAAGGCCUACCAAGGCGACGAUCGGUAGCUGGUCUGAGAGGAUGAUCAGCCACAAUGGGACUGAGACACGGCCCAUACUCCUACGGGAGGCAGCAGUGGGGAAUUUUACGCAAUGGGGGAAACCCUGACGUAGCGACACCGCGUGAGCGAAGAAGCCCCUUGGGGUGUAAAGCUCUGUCAGCUGGAACGAAACAAAUGACGGUACCAGCAGAGGAAGCAUCGGCUAACUACGUGCCAGCAGCCGCGGUAAGACGUAGGAUGCGAGCGUUGUCCGGAUUUAUUGGGCGUAAAGAGUUCGUAGGUGGUUUGUUAAGUUUGAUGUUAAAGAUCGGGGCUCAACCUCGGGACAGCAUUGAAUACUGGCAGACUUGAGUAUGGUAGAGGCUAGUGGAAUUCCCAGUGUAGCGGUGAAAUGCGUAGA